Pseudomonas entomophila is the source of this 145-nucleotide non-coding RNA. The record is from Rfam. NCBI's taxonomy places the organism in Bacteria, Pseudomonadati, Pseudomonadota, Gammaproteobacteria, Pseudomonadales, Pseudomonadaceae.
CCGUGCAAGAUUUUCACACUUUGCUCACAAACCCCGUCACGCAGCCCCGCCGCGACAUUUUUUUUGCAGUUCUUGCGCUCAGUCAGUUUACUUACUACAAGUAAUGGGUACUAUGUACGCCGGCCAGUUUCUCUUUUCCGAGAGA